This 108-nucleotide ribosomal RNA is filed under the name uncultured bacterium. RNAcentral's name for it is "partial 16S ribosomal RNA". The record is from RNAcentral.
CGUCCCGGGUUUUUUUCCUGUACACACCGCCCGUCACACCAUGGGAGUCGAUUGCUCCAGAAGUCACCUCACCAAGAGGUGCCCAAGGAGUGGUCGGUAACUGGGGUG